AUUGAACGCUGGCGGCAGGCCUAACACAUGCAAGUCGAGCGGAUGAAGGGAGCUUGCUCCUGGAUUCAGCGGCGGACGGGUGAGUAAUGCCUAGGAAUCUGCCUGGUAGUGGGGGAUAACGUCCGGAAACGGGCGCUAAUACCGCAUACGUCCUGAGGGGGAAAGUGGGGGAUCUUGGGACCUCACGCUUCAGGAUGAGCCUAGGUCGGAUUAGCUAGUUGGUGGGGUAAAGGCCUACCAAGGCGACGAUCCGUAACUGGUCUGAGAGGAUGAUCAGUCACACUGGAACUGAGACACGGUCCAGACUCCUACGGGAGGCAGCAGUGGGGAAUAUUGGACAAUGGGCGAAAGCCUGAUCCAGCCAUGCCGCGUGUGUGAAGAAGGUCUUCGGAUUGUAAAGCACUUUAAGUUGGGAGGAAGGGCAGUAAGUUAAUACCUUGCUGUUUUGACGUUACCAACAGAAUAAGCACCGGCUAACUUCGUG
RNAcentral lists this ribosomal RNA (484 nucleotides) under uncultured bacterium. Its description in RNAcentral is "partial 16S ribosomal RNA". It matches the Rfam family "Bacterial small subunit ribosomal RNA", at positions 30 to 507 of the family's 1533-position model. The record is from RNAcentral.